GUUACAGCAGCCGCGGUAAUACAGAGGGGGCAAGCGUUGUUCGGAAUUACUGGGCGUAAAGGGCGCGUAGGCGGCCUGUUAAGUCAGACGUGAAAUCCCCGGGCUCAACCCGGGAACUGCGUCUGAUACUGGCAGGCUUGAAUCCGGGAGAGGGAUGCGGAAUUCCAGGUGUAGCGGUGAAAUGCGUAGAUAUCUGGAGGAACACCGGUGGCGAAGGCGGCAUCCUGGACCGGCAUUGACGCUGAGGCGCGAAAGCCAGGGGAGCAAACGGGAUUAGAUACCCUGGUAGUCC
RNAcentral lists this ribosomal RNA (292 nucleotides) under uncultured bacterium. RNAcentral's name for it is "partial 16S ribosomal RNA". It matches the Rfam family "Bacterial small subunit ribosomal RNA", at positions 505 to 796 of the family's 1533-position model. The record is from RNAcentral.